Molecule: ribosomal RNA, 253 nt
Filed under: uncultured bacterium
Lineage: Bacteria
Description: partial 16S ribosomal RNA
Rfam family: Bacterial small subunit ribosomal RNA
Source: RNAcentral
UACGUAGGGUGCGAGCGUUGUCCGGAAUUACUGGGCGUAAAGGGCUCGUAGGCGGCCAACUAAGUCAGACGUGAAAUCCCUCAGCUUAACUGGGGAACUGCGUCUGAUACUGGAUGGCUUGGAUUCGGGAGAGGAAUGCGGAAUUCCAGGUGUAGCGGUGAAAUGCGUAGAUAUCUGGAGGAACACCGGUGGCGAAGGCGGCAUUCUGGACCGACAUUGACGCUGAGGUGCGAAAGCGUGGGGAGCAAACAGG